UGGUGAGGUUAAAUAAAUAAUGGAAAUGUUUAUCUUAAUAAUGAAAUAAUUAGCAAAUCACAUAUUUGUUAUGCUGAUUUUUAUUUGUGAUGUAGACACGUCACAUUCCCAGACUCAUUUUUGUGCACCGGGAAAUACAUCAUAAGAAGUUCUGGGUUUAGUACUUGAAAAGUAAAUGUUGUAUGAAAUAUACAUUUUGGCAUAUCACUCUGAAUAACCACAUUUGUGUGUGUGUUUGUAAUAUAUAGAUCAUAAACAUUCUAGGCUUGUUAAUGGAUCUCACCUGUGUUCUGGGAGAUUAGAGAUACUUCAGGAGAACACAUGGCACACAUUGUGUGAUGCUGUCUUUGACCAGCAGGAUGCAGAGGUUGUGUGUAGAGAGCUGGACUGUGGGGCUCCUGUACAGGUGCUGGGAGCAACUGCUUUUGGCAAAGGAGACACUCAAAUGUGGACACAAGAGAUUCAGUGCAGAGGAAAUGAAUCUUAUAUAUCUUUCUGUCCAACAUUAUCAUCUCUCAAACACAACUGUACCCAUGAGAAUGACAUUGGACUGUUAUGUUCUGGUUAUACUAAUCUCAGGCUGGUUAAUGGCCCUGACAUCUGUUCUGGUCGAGUUGAACGUCAAUACUUCAGUAAAUGGGCCACAGUGUGUGAUGCAUGCUGGGAUAUGAGAUCUGCCAGUGUCCUCUGUAGACAGCUGAAUUGUGGGAUUGCUUUGUCUGUUGUGGGAUCAGACUGGUUUGGAAAGGGGAAGUGGUGAAAUAUGGCUGAUGUGUUUGAUUGUGACGGGAAUGAACAAAACUCUCAGAAUGUUCCAUCUCUUCAUGGAGUCGAGCUGAAUGUUCUCACAGACGAGAUGUUGGAGUCAUCUGCUCUGAUUCCUCUCUGGCUCCUCAUGAUGGUCUGGUGCGGUUGUCUGGAGAGAGACAGUGUGAGGGGGAGCUGGAAGUUUUCAUCCAUCAGGUCUGGAGGAGAGUUCUGCUGGACUCCUGGAGUCUCACUGAAUCCUCUGUGGUCUGCAGACAGCU
Molecule: long non-coding RNA, 1028 nt
Organism: Cyprinus carpio (common carp)
Lineage: Eukaryota; Metazoa; Chordata; Actinopteri; Cypriniformes; Cyprinidae
Exons: 3
Source: RefSeq, a predicted model, not a curated record